Molecule: long non-coding RNA, 497 nt
Filed under: Brassica napus (rape)
Lineage: Eukaryota; Viridiplantae; Streptophyta; Magnoliopsida; Brassicales; Brassicaceae
Description: long non-coding RNA (BNAP_LNC020074)
Source: RNAcentral
UUGGAUUUUCUGGAUGGAUUAAGUAAGUACGAAGCUUUGUUGUUGCUACUUUAAUUUGCAGAAACAAAAGAUCUGGUCUCUGGUCAAAAUCUGCGUUGGCUUCACCUCCUCACCACCACCACAGGUCGAACUCACUUCACCUUGCUCUUAUCUGCUCUCUUCUUCUCGUCAUCUUCUAAUAAAUUUAUUACUGAUUUUUGUUUUGUUUACAGUUUAUUAAAGAGCAGGGAAGGAAAAGCAUUGGUGUGACAUAGCGGAGUCUCCGGUCAAGCGUGGUGCGGCAGUGGUGCAAGCCGGUGGUGGUCGUGCGGUGGAGAUGCGAGCAGCGGCGGAGACUGAAGAAGUUAAUUAGGUUUAGUUAGGGUUAAUUAGGUUUUGGUUUAGAUUUCUAAACCGGUUUUGUCUGUGAACCAGGUUUAAUAAUUAAACCGAUAUCAUUUGUAAACAAAUUUUUUUAAUAAUAUAUUAAUUUCAUUUUAAAAUCAGUUAUAAGAAAA